RNAcentral lists this ribosomal RNA (253 nucleotides) under uncultured bacterium. Its description in RNAcentral is "partial 16S ribosomal RNA". It matches the Rfam family "Bacterial small subunit ribosomal RNA", at positions 524 to 776 of the family's 1533-position model. The record is from RNAcentral.
GACGUAGGGCGCGAGCGUUGUCCGGAUUUAUUGGGCGUAAAGGGCGUGUAGGCGGCUUCGUGUGUCCCAUGUGAAAGCCCUCGGCUCAGCCGGGGAACUGCAUGGGAAACUGCGGAGCUUGAGUCCGGGAGAGGUGAGUGGAAUUCCCAGUGUAGCGGUGAAAUGCGUAGAUAUUGGGAGGAACACCGGUGGCGAAGGCGGCUCACUGGACCGGUACUGACGCUGAGAUGCGAAAGCGUGGGGAGCAAACAGG